AACGGAGGUGGCAAGCGUUGCUCGGAUUCACUGGGCUUAAAGGGCGCGUAGGUGGUCUUGUAAGUCAAAGGUGGAAUUCCACAGCUUAACUGUGGAACUGCCUUUGAUACUGCAAGGCUUGAGUCAGGUAGAGGAGGGCGGAAUUCCCGGUGUAGCGGUGAAAUGCGUAGAUAUCGGGAGGAAGGCCGGUGGCGAAGGCGGCCCUCUGGGCCUGUACUGACACUGAGGCGCGAAAGCGUGGGGAGCAAACAGG
This 253-nucleotide ribosomal RNA is filed under the name uncultured microorganism. Its description in RNAcentral is "partial 16S ribosomal RNA". It matches the Rfam family "Bacterial small subunit ribosomal RNA", at positions 524 to 776 of the family's 1533-position model. The record is from RNAcentral.